Molecule: ribosomal RNA, 467 nt
Filed under: uncultured bacterium
Lineage: Bacteria
Description: bacterial SSU rRNA
Rfam family: Bacterial small subunit ribosomal RNA
Source: RNAcentral
GACGAACGCUGGCGGCAUGCCUAACACAUGCAAGUCUAGGGGUAGCAAUACCACUGGCGCACGGGUGAGUAACACGUGGGUUAUCUGCCCCCAUCACAGACAUAACCCCGGGAAACCGGGGCUAAUAUCUGAUGAGGUCGCGAGAUCAAAGCUUCGGCGGAUGGGGAUGAGCCUGCGGCUGAUUAGCUAGUUGGUGAGGUAAUGGCUCACCAAGGCGACGAUCAGUAGCUGGUCUGAGAGGACGAACAGCCACACUGGAACUGAGACACGGUCCAGACUCCUACGGGAGGCAGCAGUGAGGAAUAUUGGUCAAUGGGAGCAAUCCUGAACCAGCAAUGCCGCGUGUGGGAUGACAGGGCUUCGCCUUGUAAACCACUGUCGGACGGGACGAAAGGAGGCCUCGGGCCUCUGGGACGGUACCGUCAAAGGAAGGGUCGGCGUAACUACGUGCCAGCAGCCGCGGUAAU